RNAcentral lists this ribosomal RNA (497 nucleotides) under uncultured bacterium. RNAcentral describes it as "partial 16S ribosomal RNA". It matches the Rfam family "Bacterial small subunit ribosomal RNA", at positions 28 to 507 of the family's 1533-position model. The record is from RNAcentral.
GAUGAACGCUGGCGGCGUGCCUAAUACAUGCAAGUCGAGCGAACAGACGAGGAGCUUGCUCCUCUGACGUUAGCGGCGGACGGGUGAGUAACACGUGGAUAACCUACCUAUAAGACUGGGAUAACUUCGGGAAACCGGAGCUAAUACCGGAUAAUAUAUUGAACCGCAUGGUUCAAUAGUGAAAGACGGUUUUGCUGUCACUUAUAGAUGGAUCCGCGCUGCAUUAGCUAGUUGGUAAGGUAACGGCUUACCAAGGCAACGAUGCGUAGCCGACCUGAGAGGGUGAUCGGCCACACUGGAACUGAGACACGGUCCAGACUCCUACGGGAGGCAGCAGUAGGGAAUCUUCCGCAAUGGGCGAAAGCCUGACGGAGCAACGCCGCGUGAGUGAUGAAGGUCUUCGGAUCAUAAAACUCUGUUAUUAGGGAAGAACAAAUGUGUAAGUAACUAUGCACGUCUUGACGGUACCUAAUCAGAAAGCCACGGCUAACUACGUG